GAAGGAGGAACUGUUUGCUAUUUAUACUUAUCUCUUGAAUUCUCGUCGACAUUCCAUAGAAGACCAUUUAAUCAGUGCAGUUUUGCUAAUAGAUAGUAGAUGAUGUUUCUGAAAGCAGAAAAUGCUUUCAUUUCUCAAAAAAACUUGUGCCAUGGGUUGACCAUAUCUUGGACUUGUGUCUGGUGCAACAUGUCAGCCAUUUACAUUUAUACAUACGUAUGUUUUAUUACCUUUCUUGCCUAUAGACUUGGAAUAGCAAUGCCAGUUUGAACAUCUAUGCAUCUAUCUAAAUAGUGUACUCGCAGAAGAUAGAUUUACUACAUAAGGUCUCCUCUUUUAAAUCAUGCCUUAUAUAAGUUAUGCAAUAAUGUGAUUAGUUGGUGUUAAACGAACCAAUAUAUCAUCAUCAUCAUCAUGCUAUAAUGAUUAAGUUGGACGACUUAAUUAUUUGUAUGGAUCUCUUCUUGGUGAGUUUUCAAUCGUUUAAUAGAAUUGGUGGUCAUGUAUCAAUAUGUUUUCUACCUCUUAGAGUAAAUAUGGGUAAUAGUGUUUUUUGACAGGAACAUUGAUAUACUCGUUUACUAGGGGAAACUCAAAUGGUAACAACACAAGCCUAGACAUACUGUAAAUAACCUUGGGGUUGUAGGUAGACGCUUCAAAUUUGGUAAUGUCAGGUCUCUGUUGAACCUGUGUAAAAAAAGAGACUAGCAACAGAUUGUUCACUGUCUGUAAAAUGUGGUUCACCCAGAUAUUAAGUUCUGAAAUUGCCAAGAUAUGCCCGAGACACGGCAUUAGAUGUUGCAACUGCAUGUUUCAUGUUGCCUCGAUAGUCAAUACUCAUCUACUGAUUUGUAUACAAGUAGCUAGAUACGUGUUGUUGUCAUUCAGCAUUUGAUCUGUUUUCUUCUUCUUUUUUACCAAUGCUAUUGCAAUGUUUGCCAUGUUCAGUACGCGGUUGCAAUGUUUGCCAUGUUCAGUACGCGGUUGCAAUGUUUGCCAUGCUCUGAAAAGACUGUCAUUGUUCUGCUCUUUCCUGUGAUGCGACAUUCUUUGCAUCAGUCUUAGAGGUUUGUAUAAAUCAUUUUGCAUGUUCCGUUGCAUGUGUGAAAUGUUUCUUUUUAUGUAAAAUUCAUAAUGUAUUGUAAUCUGCCUGACUCAGUUUAUUCUGCUAGCAUUACAUCCCUCUUACAGGAGCUUUGCUUUAUAUGUAUAUAUAUCAGUUGUACUAACAUCCCAAUCUGUUGCUAUGCGCUAGGUUGACGGUCCGGCCGGAUGUUUCAUCAGUCAUCAACGCCUUGAGUAGGAUCCUUUUCUUCUCCGCAGUUGGGAAACACUUUUUUGUCAUGGUAUUGUAGUUUAGAUUCCAGAAGACUAAAUGUAGACAAGAAUUAAGGCACCGAAUGUGGAGGCUUUGGCACCCCGAAGAAGUGAAAUAGGGAAUGAUGUUCAAGAGCUGGUCUGAAGGAUAGUGUCGCAACAAGUAGGAUUCUAUGAUGCAACUUAGCUGCCGAGUCGGUAUCAGGGUCAAUGAUGCCUAACAUUGAACGGUUCAGGGCCCGUUUGCUGUGUGAACCUGUUUUUGAUACACAAUCUUGUGAGUUUCAAGUGUUUCGACAUGAGCUCUCUUCGGUUGACAUGUGUUUGACUCUUCGGUUGACACGUGCUUGAAUCGACUCUUCGGUUGACACGUGUUUGAAUAGAUAUGCGUAGGAGAGCAUGACGCAUGUUUGCUAUCUUUUCUUUUUUCUAACUUCUUUGAGAUUUUAGC
RNAcentral lists this long non-coding RNA (1768 nucleotides) under Hordeum vulgare. RNAcentral's name for it is "long non-coding RNA (HVUL_LNC014288)". Lineage: Eukaryota; Viridiplantae; Streptophyta; Magnoliopsida; Poales; Poaceae. The record is from RNAcentral.